UUAAGCGACUAAGCGUACACGGUGGAUGCCCUGGCAGUCAGAGGCGAUGAAGGACGUGCUAAUCUGCGAUAAGCGUCGGUAAGGUGAUAUGAACCGUUAUAACCGGCGAUUUCCGAAUGGGGAAACCCAGUGUGUUUCGACACACUAUCAUUAACUGAAUCCAUAGGUUAAUGAGGCGAACCGGGGGAACUGAAACAUCUAAGUACCCCGAGGAAAAGAAAUCAACCGAGAUUCCCCCAGUAGCGGCGAGCGAACGGGGAGCAGCCCAGAGCCUGAAUCAGUGUGUGUGUUAGUGGAAGCGUCUGGAAAGGCGCGCGAUACAGGGUGACAGCCCCGUACACAAAAAUGCACAUGCUGUGAGCUCGAUGAGUAGGGCGGGACACGUGGUAUCCUGUCUGAAUAUGGGGGGACCAUCCUCCAAGGCUAAAUACUCCUGACUGACCGAUAGUGAACCAGUACCGUGAGGGAAAGGCGAAAAGAACCCCGGCGAGGGGAGUGAAAAAGAACCUGAAACCGUGUACGUACAAGCAGUGGGAGCACGCUUAGGCGUGUGACUGCGUACCUUUUGUAUAAUGGGUCAGCGACUUAUAUUCUGUAGCAAGGUUAACCGAAUAGGGGAGCCGAAGGGAAACCGAGUCUUAACUGGGCGUUAAGUUGCAGGGUAUAGACCCGAAACCCGGUGAUCUAGCCAUGGGCAGGUUGAAGGUUGGGUAACACUAACUGGAGGACCGAACCGACUAAUGUUGAAAAAUUAGCGGAUGACUUGUGGCUGGGGGUGAAAGGCCAAUCAAACCGGGAGAUAGCUGGUUCUCCCCGAAAGCUAUUUAGGUAGCGCCUCGUGAAUUCAUCUCCGGGGGUAGAGCACUGUUUCGGCAAGGGGGUCAUCCCGACUUACCAACCCGAUGCAAACUGCGAAUACCGGAGAAUGUUAUCACGGGAGACACACGGCGGGUGCUAACGUCCGUCGUGAAGAGGGAAACAACCCAGACCGCCAGCUAAGGUCCCAAAGUCAUGGUUAAGUGGGAAACGAUGUGGGAAGGCCCAGACAGCCAGGAUGUUGGCUUAGAAGCAGCCAUCAUUUAAAGAAAGCGUAAUAGCUCACUGGUCGAGUCGGCCUGCGCGGAAGAUGUAACGGGGCUAAACCAUGCACCGAAGCUGCGGCAGCGACGCUUAUGCGUUGUUGGGUAGGGGAGCGUUCUGUAAGCCUGCGAAGGUGUGCUGUGAGGCAUGCUGGAGGUAUCAGAAGUGCGAAUGCUGACAUAAGUAACGAUAAAGCGGGUGAAAAGCCCGCUCGCCGGAAGACCAAGGGUUCCUGUCCAACGUUAAUCGGGGCAGGGUGAGUCGACCCCUAAGGCGAGGCCGAAAGGCGUAGUCGAUGGGAAACAGGUUAAUAUUCCUGUACUUGGUGUUACUGCGAAGGGGGGACGGAGAAGGCUAUGUUGGCCGGGCGACGGUUGUCCCGGUUUAAGCGUGUAGGCUGGUUUUCCAGGCAAAUCCGGAAAAUCAAGGCUGAGGCGUGAUGACGAGGCACUACGGUGCUGAAGCAACAAAUGCCCUGCUUCCAGGAAAAGCCUCUAAGCAUCAGGUAACAUCAAAUCGUACCCCAAACCGACACAGGUGGUCAGGUAGAGAAUACCAAGGCGCUUGAGAGAACUCGGGUGAAGGAACUAGGCAAAAUGGUGCCGUAACUUCGGGAGAAGGCACGCUGAUAUGUAGGUGAAGUCCCUCGCGGAUGGAGCUGAAAUCAGUCGAAGAUACCAGCUGGCUGCAACUGUUUAUUAAAAACACAGCACUGUGCAAACACGAAAGUGGACGUAUACGGUGUGACGCCUGCCCGGUGCCGGAAGGUUAAUUGAUGGGGUUAGCCGCAAGGCGAAGCUACUUGGAUCGAAGACCCCGGUAAACGGCGGACCGUAACUAUAACGGUCCUAAGGUAGCGAAAUUCCUUGUACGGGUAAGUUCCGACCUGCACGAAUGGCGUAAUGAUGGCCAGGCUGUCUCACCCGAGACUCAGUGAAAUUGAACUCGCUGUGAAGAUGCAGUGUACCCCGACGGCAAGACGGGAAAGACCCCGUGAACCUUUUACUAUAGCUUGACACUGAACAUUGAGCCUUGAUGUGUAGGAUAGGUGGGAGGCUUGGAAGUGUGGACGCCAGUCUGCAUGGAGCCGACCUUGAAAUACCACCCUUUAAUGUUUGAUGUUCUAACGUUGACCCGUAAUCCGGGUUGCGGACAGUGUCUGGUGGGUAGUUUGACUGGGGCGGUCUCCUCCUAAAGAGUAACGGAGGAGCACGAAGGUUGGCUAAUCCUGGUCGGACAUCAGGAGGUUAGUGCAAUGGCAUAAGCCAGCUUGACUGCGAGCGUGACGGCGCGAGCAGGUGCGAAAGCAGGUCAUAGUGAUCCGGUGGUUCUGAAUGGAAGGGCCAUCGCUCAACGGAUAAAAGGUACUCCGGGGAUAACAGGCUGAUACCGCCCAAGAGUUCAUAUCGACGGCGGUGUUUGGCACCUCGAUGUCGGCUCAUCACAUCCUGGGGCUGAAGUAGGUCCCAAGGGUAUGGCUGUUCGCCAUUUAAAGUGGUACGCGAGCUGGGUUUAGAACGUCGUGAGACAGUUCGGUCCCUAUCUGCCGUGGGCGCUGGAGAACUGAGGGGGGCUGCUCCUAGUACGAGAGGACCGGAGUGGACGCAUCACUGGUGUUCGGGUUGUCAUGCCAAUGGCACUGCCCGGUAGCUAAAUGCGGAAGAGAUAAGUGCUGAAAGCAUCUAAGCACGAAACUUGCCCCGAGAUGAGUUCUCCCUGACUCCUUGAGAGUCCUGAAGGAACGUUGAAGACGACGACGUUGAUAGGCCGGGUGUGUAAGCGCAGCGAUGCGUUGAGCUAACCGGUACUAAUGAACCGUGAGGCUUAACCUU
RNAcentral lists this ribosomal RNA (2912 nucleotides) under Escherichia coli P0299438.2. RNAcentral's name for it is "bacterial LSU rRNA". It matches the Rfam family "Bacterial large subunit ribosomal RNA". The record is from RNAcentral. Lineage: Bacteria; Pseudomonadati; Pseudomonadota; Gammaproteobacteria; Enterobacterales; Enterobacteriaceae.